UUUUUUUUUUCUUUUUUUCUUUUUUUUUUUUAACAUUUCUUCUCCUAAACCUCUUUCUCUCCCCCAAAACCUCCAUAAUCAAUUUGGCAAGGAGAUAGAUAAACGAUGGACAUUGUUCCAAAGACUCCCGAAAAACCUAAAUUAUUGUUUACUAAAUUUUAUGUGAGACGAAAAUCCAUUAAGACGAAAAUCUAUGGUUCUGUACUUUCUCCACUCGAAAUAGAUCCUCCUCAUAAACAAGAGCUUCAACAAGAUAAUUCACAAAGCACUGACCAAAAAGAGGAGAAGAAGAAGAAUUCAGAUGAAGAGCGUGAAAGAAAGUGUCAUGAGUCAGAUAUUUUUCAAGGUGAUGAUUCACAACAUGUUAGUGGAAAAAGAAAGAGAAAUAAUCCAAAUGAGACACAAAAGCAGCAAAGUAGAAGUAAAACUGAGAAGCCUAAAAAAAGAAAUGUGGCUCGAACUUUGAAUUUCAAUCUUCUUAGUUGUCUUGAGCUCGACAGAAUUUGUGGACCAAAUUUUCCAAAGGGGAGAAAGAGGAUGACUCCAGUUCGUAGAUCUGAUUUCCACUGUUUGAUAUCUCCCUACUCAUUUGCUCUACCUAUUUGGAAAAAGCAGUCAAGAAGGUCUAACCGUAGGAAAAACUUGGUCAGAUGGUUUGGAAUUGCCUUGUCUCUUUAACUCCAAGAGCAAGAGGAGACCCUACCUUUAGUCGACAGGCUCUCGUCUCAAACAGAUGUUUCUUUGCACAUUGGAGACACGACUAGUUAUGUAGCACCAAAGAUGGAUUAUGCAUUCAAUAACAGAACUAAAGAUUUUGUUGAGCCGUUAAUCCAACAAAGGAAUCAUCAAAAAGAUAAUGACGUUUCACCUAUAUUAGAAGUUCCUUUGCAGA
This is a non-coding RNA of Camelina sativa (false flax), 892 nucleotides long. The record is from RefSeq and is a predicted model, not a curated record. NCBI's taxonomy places the organism in Eukaryota, Viridiplantae, Streptophyta, Magnoliopsida, Brassicales, Brassicaceae.